This is a small nucleolar RNA of Spea bombifrons (plains spadefoot toad), 134 nucleotides long. RefSeq annotates it as small nucleolar RNA SNORA42/SNORA80 family. Lineage: Eukaryota; Metazoa; Chordata; Amphibia; Anura; Pelobatidae. The transcript has a single exon. The record is from RefSeq and is a predicted model, not a curated record.
GCAUGGCAUUGGAUUUAUGGUGGGGUCUCUUUGUGCCCCCUCAUAGUGUACUCCAUGCUAAAGUGAGCUGCAGCUCCUAACCAUUGACAGAUCUCAGUCCCAUAGGUCUGAUCACUGAUGAGGGCUGCACAUUC